This 253-nucleotide ribosomal RNA is filed under the name uncultured bacterium. RNAcentral describes it as "partial 16S ribosomal RNA". It matches the Rfam family "Bacterial small subunit ribosomal RNA", at positions 524 to 776 of the family's 1533-position model. The record is from RNAcentral.
UACGUAGGGUGCAGGCGUUAAUCGGAAUUACUGGGCGUAAAGCGUGCGCAGGCGGUUUCUUAAGUCAGAUGUGAAAGCCCCGGGCUUAACCUGGGAACUGCGUUUGAAACUGGGAGACUUGAGUGUGGCAGAGGGGGGUGGAAUUCCCAGUGUAGCGGUGAAAUGCGUAGAUAUUGGGAGGAACACCAGUGGCGAAGGCGGCUCGCUGGACCGGAACUGACGCUGAGGCGCGAAAGCGUGGGGAGCAAACAGG